AAAAAAAUUGGACACAUUUUUUUUACAAAUAUGUUAGAUAAUAUUGUAUUCACGUAUAAAUCGUGUCAAUGAUGGUUGUCUCAAGCGAUUCUUGUACGAGAAAAUCUGAUGACAGCUGAUUUUUUACUGAAUGCGUGUGGUCUCUGUUAAAUAAUUUUAGGUUAAAUAUGAGAAACCAAAAAUGUACAAGGCAUAUAAGGCAUUGCGCAACAUAAAGUCAAGUAUACUGUAAUAAAUGUAGUAAUGCAA
Long non-coding RNA from Cataglyphis hispanica, 249 nucleotides. RefSeq lists it as uncharacterized. Lineage: Eukaryota; Metazoa; Arthropoda; Insecta; Hymenoptera; Formicidae. The transcript is spliced from 2 exons. The record is from RefSeq and is a predicted model, not a curated record.